Molecule: ribosomal RNA, 253 nt
Filed under: uncultured bacterium
Lineage: Bacteria
Description: partial 16S ribosomal RNA
Rfam family: Bacterial small subunit ribosomal RNA
Source: RNAcentral
UACGUAGGUGGCAAGCGUUGUCCGGAUUUACUGGGUGUAAAGGGCGUGUAGCCGGGCUGACAAGUCAGAUGUGAAAUCCGGGGGCUCAACCCCCGAACUGCAUUUGAAACUGUUGGUCUUGAGUAUCGGAGAGGCAGGCGGAAUUCCUAGUGUAGCGGUGAAAUGCGUAGAUAUUAGGAGGAACACCAGUGGCGAAGGCGGCCUGCUGGACGACAACCGACGGUGAGGCGCGAAAGCGUGGGGAGCAAACAGG